AAAUGUAAAUCAAAGUCAGUAAAUCAAAUCAAAUAAUAUGCAGCUGAAAGAUACUAAUAUUGUUAUGAAUAAAAACUGUAUAAUGACUGCUCUCCAUCAGUUUUUAUGAUGUUUUAAUGUCUUAUUUGAUCUGAACGAUCAUUCUACAUAUUUUGUUUUUAAUAGUAUUAUCAAACAAUGAAAUUGCAUCCUAUCCAGCAUCUACAUGAUGCGGAUUGAGUACGAUAUAGAACCUUUAUGAAUUACCUGUACUGAAAUCCCGUAAAGGUAUGUUGUAUCAUUAUAUUUCGGGCCUCUAACUGACAACUCUAAUGGGACAGAUUGCUAAGUGUGGUCCCUCAUGAGGCAACCAGAUGGAUCUAUGUUACAACACUCCGAAAAGGACCUAUUCAAAAGCGUUUUGUCCAACAUUGAUUCUUUAAGCUUUUGGUAUUGCUCAUCCCAUAUGGUUUUCUUACACUGUUCACGUGGGUCUUACGAGGAUUCGUUUAUUUAAAGGCCCCGCUCGACUGUUAAGAAUUAUAUGAUUAUACAAUACAAAAUAUUUAUUUUUAAGCAAGAACUUUGAGUUAAAAUCAACAGAAACUAAUUUAAGCAUGUAAACAUUGUUGAGAGACUGUUUAAAGUAAAUAAAAACGGGACAUACACGUACUGAAUAAUUGGAGAAGAUGACUUCGACAAUCGAUUUUUCAAACUUAUUAUAAAUAUAUUUGGUAUCAUAUUUCUAAUAAGAAUGAAACAAUGUGAUUAGGUAUUAAAUAUUUUCACUGUAAACGAAAACAGGUCUAUAAUUAAAUAUGUGAAAUAGUUAACCUUCAUGUUCGGCUAUGUUCGCUUACUGUCGUACACAGAUGAGAAUUUUCCCGAAAACUAAUGCGAAACUCUCGACGAAUUAAGUAAUUCAUAAACGUGAUCAAUUUACGAAUAUUACAUCCGAUCAAUUACACAGGUAAUGAGUAGAUGUUAUAUAUGUAAGUGUUGGAUUAUAAAACUUAAUAUUUAAACGCAGAUGUGCCAGGCUUCUAUAUAAUACUUUAAUACUAAAACCCUGAUCAAUAUAUUUUAUUUUAAAACAAGAAUAAUGUAGACAAUCAUGUUAAAAAAAUAAAGAACAACAUUAGAGUAUCAAGAAAUUAAUAAUAAUAGUUUAAUAAUAAAUAGUUGUGCAAAGUAUAAAUUCUAGUUAUAUAAAAUAAUAACAAAACUACACAAAAUGUUAAUGUAUGUACAACUUUUAAUAUAAAAAAGGAUGGUUUUUACAAAAAAUGGAACCGUAUUAUAAUUUAAAAAAAUGAAUAAUAUGAUAGUCAAUAAACCCAGUCAAUAAUUUGAUUAAAACAACUGUUAUAUGUGACCCUUUAAUCUUAUGUCUUUUUAGCCAGUCUUUAUCCAAGUUCUUCCUCAAACUUAACUAAUAUUUAUUGUAAAAAUGUGAUGUAUACCGCUUCACUUUCGGGUUUAAUAGAUCUGUAACCAUAGCCUUCGUAUACAACCAUUUAACAAAAGACAUAUCAUACUUUUGCGUAUGAAUGAAAGAUGACUCUCAAUAGAUGUAAAGUUUUUAGUCAAUACGCUUUUUUUCUGUAUACAUUUUGGUAUCUUUAGUUUCAUCAGUGCAGGCAAAGUGCGUUUAAACAUCAAGUUUUAUAAUCCAACACUUACGGAUAUAACCCGUGCUUAUUACCUGUAUAAUUAAUGGGGUGUUACAUUCGUCAAUUGUUCAAGUUUAUCAAAACCAGUUUAUUCCUCGAAAUUUUCGCAUGAGUUGUUGAGUAAAUUCUUUUUGUUGUUCGACAGUAAGCGAAUAUGGCCGAAAAGCUACCCGAGGUUCUCGAUUUCAUUAUCGGGGGAAAGCAUAUAACAACACUUCGCUCAACGUUAACCAGAUACCCAGACAGCAUGUUGGCGGCCAUGUUUAGCGAGCGUCACCUCAUCAACAAAGACAAAGAUGGCCGCUACGUGACAUACACUAUAUCUAAACAUAUCAUACGUUUUGUGCCCUAUAAAGUGAAGAAAGACUUAAUACCCCCCCCCCCCCCAACACACACACACACACACGAACACUUUGUUGGAUUCUUAAAUCCUAUGUUCUUCCUUUUAAUGCAUGAUUCAUUUUCCUUAUUAUGUAUAUAUGUUUGCACUAUCAUUUCCUUAUGCAUGUAUUUAAUGAUGUAUCAGAUGAACUAAUUGAAUCUUUACGGAAAUAUUUAUAUACAUUUCCUAUUCAUUUGUUCAGCAAUUGUGUUUGUGUGAUUUGAUAGAAUAAAAGAUGUGCUAUAAACAA
Molecule: long non-coding RNA, 2284 nt
Organism: Dreissena polymorpha
Lineage: Eukaryota; Metazoa; Mollusca; Bivalvia; Myida; Dreissenidae
Exons: 2
Source: RefSeq, a predicted model, not a curated record